This 468-nucleotide ribosomal RNA is filed under the name uncultured bacterium. RNAcentral describes it as "partial 16S ribosomal RNA". It matches the Rfam family "Bacterial small subunit ribosomal RNA", at positions 28 to 507 of the family's 1533-position model. The record is from RNAcentral.
GACGAACGCUGGCGGCGUGCUUAACACAUGCAAGUCGAACGGAAAGGCCCUGCUUUUGUGGGGUGCUCGAGUGGCGAACGGGUGAGUAACACGUGAGUAACCUGCCCUUGACUUUGGGAUAACUUCAGGAAACUGGGGCUAAUACCGGAUAGGAGCUCCUGCUGCAUGGUGGGGGUUGGAAAGUUUCGGCGGUUGGGGAUGGACUCGCGGCUUAUCAGCUUGUUGGUGGGGUAGUGGCUUACCAAGGCUUUGACGGGUAGCCGGCCUGAGAGGGUGACCGGCGACAAUGCGACUGAGAUACGGCCCAGACUCCUACGGGAGGCAGCAGUGGCGAAUAUUGCACAAUGGGCGGAAGCCUGAUGCAGCAACGCCGCGGGCGGGAUGACGGCCUGCGGGUUGUAAACCGCUUUCGCCUGUGACGAAGCGUGAGUGACGGUAAUGGGUAAAGAAGCACCGGCUAACUACGUG